GCCCAGGUGGCGCAAUGGAAGAUUCUGCCGGUCCAAACCCGGCUGCCGCAAUGCUUGUGGGUUCGAGUCCCACCCUGGGCA
RNAcentral lists this transfer RNA (81 nucleotides) under Lawsonibacter asaccharolyticus. RNAcentral's name for it is "tRNA-Leu". It matches the Rfam family "tRNA". From Rfam's summary of the family: Transfer RNA (tRNA) molecules are approximately 80 nucleotides in length. Their secondary structure includes four short double-helical elements and three loops (D, anti-codon, and T loops). Further hydrogen bonds mediate the characteristic L-shaped molecular structure. tRNAs have two regions of fundamental functional importance: the anti-codon, which is responsible for specific mRNA codon recognition, and the 3' end, to which the tRNAs corresponding amino acid is attached (by aminoacyl-tRNA synthetases). tRNAs cope with the degeneracy of the genetic code in two manners: having more than one tRNA (with a specific anti-codon) for a particular amino acid; and 'wobble' base-pairing, i.e. permitting non-standard base-pairing at the 3rd anti-codon position. Lineage: Bacteria; Bacillati; Bacillota; Clostridia; Eubacteriales; Oscillospiraceae. The record is from RNAcentral.